UUUUAGUAACAAAACUAUGUCUAUAAACGGUGUAAUUUUUAAAUUAGAUAGGUUAGGGUUUUUUUUUUGUAACAAAACUGUCGAUAAACGGUGUAACUUUUAAAUUAGAUAGGUUAGGGUUAUUUUUUUUUUUGUAACAAAACUGUCGAUAAACGAUGUAACUUUUAAAUUAGAUAGGUUAGGGUUAUUUUUUUUUGUAACAAAACUGUCGAUAAACGGUGUAAUUUUUAAAUUAGAUAGGUUAGGGUUAUUUUUUUUUUUGUAACAAAACUGUCGAUAAACGAUGUAACUUUUAAAUUAGAUAGGUUAGGGUUAUUUUUUUUUUUUUUAGUAACAAAGCUGUCUAUAAA
This 350-nucleotide unclassified non-coding RNA is filed under the name Melitaea cinxia (Glanville fritillary). RNAcentral describes it as "misc RNA ENSMCXG00005012912.1". The record is from RNAcentral. Lineage: Eukaryota; Metazoa; Arthropoda; Insecta; Lepidoptera; Nymphalidae.